AGAGUUUGAUCAUGGCUCAGAAUAAACGCUGGCGGCGUGCCUAACACAUGCAAGUCGCACGAGAACGCCCAUCUUCGGAAGGGCAAGUAAAGUGGCGCACGGGUGAGUAACGCGUAGGCGACCUACCCCUGUGUUCGGGAUAACAGUGCGAAAGCGCUGCUAAUACCGGAUACGACCCUUCGGGGUGAAAGCAGGCCUCUCAAAGAAGCUUGCGCGCGGGGAUGGGCCUGCGUCCUAUCAGCUAGUUGGUAGGGUAACGGCCUACCAAGGCUUCGACGGGUAGCUGGUCUGAGAGGAUGAUCAGCCACACUGGCACUGGAACACGGGCCAGACUCCUACGGGAGGCAGCAGUGAGGAAUUUUGCGCAAUGGGAGAAAUCCUGACGCAGCAACGCCGCGUGGGUGAAGAAGGCCUUCGGGUCGUAAAGCCCUGUCGGGUGGGAAGAAAUCCCGGGGGAAGAAUAUACUUUCGGGUUGACGGUACCACCAAAGGAAGCGCCGGCUAACUCCGUGCCAGCAGCCGCGGUAAUACGGAGGGUGCGAGCGUUAUUCGGAAUUACUGGGCGUAAAGCGCGUGCAGGCGGGUGGACAAGUCUGAUGUGAAAGCCCCGGGCUCAACCUGGGAAGUGCAUUGGAAACUGUUCAUCUUGAGUGCUGGAGAGGAAGGGGGAAUUCCCGGUGUAGAGGUGAAAUUCGUAGAGAUCGGGAGGAAUACCAGUGGCGAAGGCGCCCUUCUGGACGGCAACUGACGCUGAGACGCGAAAGCGUGGGGAGCAAACAGGAUUAGAUACCCUGGUAGUCCACGCCGUAAACGAUGAGCACUAGGUGUAGCGGGUACUCAUUCCUGCUGUGCCGCAGCUAACGCGUUAAGUGCUCCGCCUGGGGAUUACGGUCGCAAGACUAAAACUCAAAUGAAUUGACGG
This 922-nucleotide ribosomal RNA is filed under the name uncultured bacterium. Its description in RNAcentral is "bacterial SSU rRNA". It matches the Rfam family "Bacterial small subunit ribosomal RNA", at positions 8 to 916 of the family's 1533-position model. The record is from RNAcentral.